AGAGUUUGAUCCUGGCUCAGAAUCAACGCUGGCGGCGCGCCUAACACAUGCAAGUCGAGCGAGAAAGGGGCAACCUGAGUAAAGCGGCGUACGGGUGAGUAACACGUGGAUCAUCUACCUCUUAGUGGGGGAUACCCUGGGGAAACCUGGAUCAAUCCCGCAUAAGCCCGCGAGGGGAAAGCAGCAAUGCGCUGAGAGAGGAGUCCGCGGCCGAUUAGCUAGAUGGCGGGGUAAUGGCCCACCAUGGCGACGAUCGGUAGCCGGCCUGAGAGGGCACACGGCCACACUGGCACUGAAACACGGGCCAGACUCCUACGGGAGGCAGCAGUGGGGAAUCUUGCACAAUGGAGGAAACUCUGAUGCAGCGACGCCGCGUGGACGAUGAAGCCCUUCGGGGUGUAAAG
RNAcentral lists this ribosomal RNA (404 nucleotides) under uncultured bacterium. Its description in RNAcentral is "bacterial SSU rRNA". It matches the Rfam family "Bacterial small subunit ribosomal RNA", at positions 8 to 430 of the family's 1533-position model. The record is from RNAcentral.